Molecule: non-coding RNA, 489 nt
Organism: Chrysemys picta bellii (western painted turtle)
Lineage: Eukaryota; Metazoa; Chordata; Testudines; Emydidae
Source: the annotation of a RefSeq genome assembly
AUGAUCUUCCACACUCAGCUUCUCUGGAUACUAGUUUUUUGGAUUCAGGAUUCCAUCGGGCAGAUUGUGCUGACUCAGACUCCAGAAUCUCUCUCAGUGUCUCCAGGAGACACAGUCACCAUCCGCUGCAAAGCCAGUUCAAGCCUCACCAGUAGCUCUUCAGGCAAAGAUCUCUUAGCCUGGCAUCAGCAGAAAUCAGGACAAGCUCCUAAACUCCUUAUUUAUCAUGCAACCACCCUGCAAUCAGGCGUCCCAGCCCGGUUCAGGGGCAGUGGGUCUGGGACUGAUUUCACUCUCACGAUCAGCAGGGUUGAAGCUGAAGAUGCUGGAGAUUAUUACUGCCAACAAGAGUAUAUCCCUCUCACAGUGAUACAGACCAAUACAAAAACCUCCCUGAGUGAGGGCACAGUGCUGAGUGCUUCUCACAGCUGCAUCUGGACAUUCAGCGUCACAAAUUUCAUAACUGAGAAGGAACAGGACGUUAAUUAA